RNAcentral lists this ribosomal RNA (468 nucleotides) under uncultured bacterium. RNAcentral describes it as "partial 16S ribosomal RNA". It matches the Rfam family "Bacterial small subunit ribosomal RNA", at positions 28 to 507 of the family's 1533-position model. The record is from RNAcentral.
GACGAACGCUGGCGGCGUGCUUAACACAUGCAAGUCGAACGGAAAGGCCCUGCUUUUGUGGGGUGCUCGAGUGGCGAACGGGUGAGUAACACGUGAGUAACCUGCCCUUGACUUUGGGAUAACUUCAGGAAACUGGGGCUAAUACCGGAUAGGAGCUCCUGCUGCAUGGUGGGGGUUGGAAAGUUUCGGCGGUUGGGGAUGGACUCGCGGCUUAUCAGCUUGUUGGUGGGGUAGUGGCUUACCAAGGCUUUGACGGGUAGCCGGCCUGAGAGGGUGACCGGCCAGAUUGGGACUGAGAUACGGCCCAGACUCCUACGGGAGGCGGCAGUGGGGAAUAUUGCACAAUGGGCGGAAGCCUGAUGCAGCAACGCCGCGUGCGGGAUGACGGCCUUCGGGUUGUAAACCGCUUUCGCCUGUGACGAAGCGUGAGUGACGGUAAUGGGUAAAGAAGCACCGGCUAACUACGUG